RNAcentral lists this non-coding RNA (21 nucleotides) under Arabidopsis thaliana (thale cress). The record is from RNAcentral. Lineage: Eukaryota; Viridiplantae; Streptophyta; Magnoliopsida; Brassicales; Brassicaceae.
UAUCCAUUUCAGUGAACAGAU